GAUUGGUUUAUUUGGUUGGCGGGCUCCAUGUUUGUGCAUUGAACCGUUCAUCGAUAAGCCUCUUCAAUGUUUGCGCCAAGAGCUAUUGCCUUGGGCGAGUAUUGGUUUUCUGUGUUGUAUUCCAAUUGAAGGUAUACAUACCAAUAAAUUGCUCAUUUUCGCCUAACACUUUUACGGGUGUUUGGUGGACCCAUGUAGCUAGAUUCGUUCCCCAAACACAAUGUCAUAGCGCUAUUGUUAUGGAGUACGAAUUCUAGUUGUGCUCUGGGAUGCAGAAAGUUUAGUGGGGAUAGGAUACGUUGUUAUCCCUUUUUAAGCAUUUUAUGCUAAGCAUGAACGACAGCUGGUUACGAGUUGACCUUCCUUGUAAAGGGAGGGCUCAUGCGUACUAGUGUCGCUCGAGGAAUGCUACCUGGUUGAUCCUGCCAGUAGUCAUAUGCUUGUCUCAAAGAUUAAGCCAUGCAUGUGUAA
Molecule: unclassified non-coding RNA, 471 nt
Filed under: Dysphania geoffreyi
Lineage: Eukaryota; Viridiplantae; Streptophyta; Magnoliopsida; Caryophyllales; Amaranthaceae
Description: partial contains external transcribed spacer and small subunit ribosomal RNA
Rfam family: Eukaryotic small subunit ribosomal RNA (bases 410-471)
Source: RNAcentral